UAGAAUUGCAUAAUGAAACCUCAUAUAAGACGGGAAUAGGGCCCGUUCGUCUCUACCUGGGAACCGUAAAUUCCCGGACUAUGAGGGGAGUUCAAGCAUCU
This 101-nucleotide non-coding RNA is filed under the name Halobacillus sp. Its description in RNAcentral is "Guanine sequence". It matches the Rfam family "Purine riboswitch aptamer". Rfam says of the family: Riboswitches are metabolite binding domains within certain messenger RNAs that serve as precision sensors for their corresponding targets. Allosteric rearrangement of mRNA structure is mediated by ligand binding, and this results in modulation of gene expression. RNAcentral also lists the same sequence under 1 other name. Lineage: Bacteria; Bacillati; Bacillota; Bacilli; Caryophanales; Bacillaceae. The record is from RNAcentral.